UCCAAUACAAGCGCGCAUUAGUUAGAUUCAAGUUUCAUUUCUACUUUUGGAGCAAUGAUUCAAGAUUUUGAUUUGCAAUUUCAUCUCCAAAUACCCUUGAGAGAGUUAAAGGACUUAGAUGUCAAGGUAUGUGAGCAGUUAAAUGACAAGCACCCAAGAUCAAGGUCUCAUUUCUCGUGCACUCCACAAUCUGACAUGCUUGGCAACUAUGACUGAUCAGUAUGUCUGCCUUUCUUCCAUAGCAAGAGUUUUUGUACAAACUAUAGACUGUAAUUGUCUGAUUCUGUAUAUGUACAACAACCUCCCUCCUGCGUUUUUC
This is a long non-coding RNA of Ipomoea nil (Japanese morning glory), 319 nucleotides long. RefSeq lists it as uncharacterized. The record is from RefSeq and is a predicted model, not a curated record. The transcript is spliced from 2 exons. Lineage: Eukaryota; Viridiplantae; Streptophyta; Magnoliopsida; Solanales; Convolvulaceae.